Long non-coding RNA from Homo sapiens (human), 1320 nucleotides. RefSeq lists it as uncharacterized. The record is from RefSeq and is a predicted model, not a curated record. The transcript is spliced from 2 exons. Lineage: Eukaryota; Metazoa; Chordata; Mammalia; Primates; Hominidae.
UCAAAAAGAAACAUUAUAGCAAAGUAGGUCCAACCCAAUGAGAACCAGCAAAAACACAACUUUCUCACUUUCACGUUCACUCACAAGACCAGUGGGUUACACAGGAGUUGCUGGGAAAAGCUUCUCUCAAGAGUUAUUGAGCAGAAACUUCCAACUCUAGGCCCUGAAAGGUAACCAUACUAUAAAAUAAAACAGAGGAAAAAUGUCCUAGGACUGAUAAGGAGCAGGAAGAAUAUGUUAAUUGUGGUGAAAAAUGACCCGAAACAUAACUUUUGACUACUUUUUCUGUUUUCUUCCUUGUCCCUAGAUCCUCUCCCUAGCUCUUACAACAAAUACCCAGUUCCUGUGGGUUUGUAACAUCUCGUUAUUCCUGAAGGAACAGAUCUGGAAGAAGGCAGACUUUUCUGUAAGCCCAAAAAUUCUUCAGGGUUCCUGGUCGCCCAGCAUGGCCAGGGUCUCAAACCGUCUAAUUCAAUCUGCUCUAAUGGAGUCAAGCUGACAGUAAAGAGAAGAUCAGAAACAGCGAGUCUAAUCUGCCUAUAUGGGAGAAAAUUCAGCAAACAGGAACCAGCUCAGAGACCAAGAAAACCAAACAAGGUUAUUAACCCACAUCAGAACACCAGAGAGAUAACAAGAAGUUGGUUCCAAGAUGAAAAAUGCAAGAGAGAAGCAGAUUGUGGAAUAAAAGAGAGGAUGUUCCAUGUUCAUAUACACCUGAUUGUAGUUAGAGCCUCACCCUUCCUUUCUAUCUCAGCAGGGACCUUCUGGAAAAGCUUUUCAUUCUGUGCACUUUUCUUUCUCUGGCUUUCUUUGUCUCUAGAUUUUCUUUGUUCUGUGCCUGAUCUGUCAUAAUCCUCUGAGGUUUUAUUCUCAUUCCUCUGCAUCCCCCCCUGAAAAAAAUCUUAUUUUCUUACAAUUUCAGGUAUCCCAUAAUACUAAUUAUGGCUAAGCACCUCUUUGUUUCUAUGUGGAUCUUUUCUUGAAUCCUUGUUUCAUACCAUUAACUGCAUACAAAAUAUCUCUAUUUAGAAAUGAUAUUGCAAUUUCAAACUCAACUGUAUGAAAGUAUUUUUAUUGGUAUCUUAAAAACACAUUUCCACUGAUAAUACCAAUAUUUGAGUACUCCUCACCUUGUGUUCAGAUUACUGCAAUGCAUUCCUAUCAGGUAAUUCUUCCUUCAAUCUCCUGCACCUCAAAUCCAACUUAUUAAUAUCUUCAAAUUUAAAAGAAUUAAAUUCCAUUUUUAGCAUAUUAUCCCUCUGAUUGAAAGGAAAAAAUCUUAAUUUUUUUGUUACAAUAAAAUUUCUUAACUUAAAAUCA